CCGUUCCCUGCGGAAUAGCUCCGGGAAACUGGAAUUAAUACCGCAUACGCCCUACGGGGGAAAGAUUUAUCGGGGAAGGAUUGGCCCGCGUUGGAUUAGCUAGUUGGUGGGGUAAAGGCCUACCAAGGCGACGAUCCAUAGCUGGUCUGAGAGGAUGAUCAGCCACAUUGGGACUGAGACACGGCCCAAACUCCUACGGGAGGCAGCAGUGGGGAAUAUUGGACAAUGGGCGCAAGCCUGAUCCAGCCAUGCCGCGUGAGUGAUGAAGGCCUUAGGGUUGUAAAGCUCUUUCACCGGAGAAGAUAAUGACGGUAUCCGGAGAAGAAGCCCCGGCUAACUUCGUGCCAGCAGCCGCGGUAAUACGAAGGGGGCUAGCGUUGUUCGGAAUUACUGGGCGUAAAGCGCACGUAGGCGGAUAUU
RNAcentral lists this ribosomal RNA (420 nucleotides) under Rhizobium sp. LR45. Its description in RNAcentral is "bacterial SSU rRNA". It matches the Rfam family "Bacterial small subunit ribosomal RNA", at positions 129 to 583 of the family's 1533-position model. Lineage: Bacteria; Pseudomonadati; Pseudomonadota; Alphaproteobacteria; Hyphomicrobiales; Rhizobiaceae. The record is from RNAcentral.